GGUCAAUAAUGAGACCUUAUAUUGUCUUGAAGAGAAAUAAUAACAUAAAAAUCAUAUUAAUAAAAUUAUGCUAGGGUUC
Molecule: small nucleolar RNA, 79 nt
Filed under: Castor canadensis (American beaver)
Lineage: Eukaryota; Metazoa; Chordata; Mammalia; Rodentia; Castoridae
Description: Small nucleolar RNA SNORD115 (ENSCCNG00000017329.1)
Rfam family: Small nucleolar RNA SNORD115
About the family: HBII-52 is a member of the C/D class of snoRNAs, which contain the C (UGAUGA) and D (CUGA) box motifs. HBII-52 is encoded in a tandemly repeated array with another C/D snoRNA, HBII-85, in the Prader-Willi syndrome (PWS) region of chromosome 15.
Source: Rfam by way of RNAcentral